RNAcentral lists this long non-coding RNA (238 nucleotides) under Lathyrus oleraceus (garden pea). RNAcentral's name for it is "Pisum sativum (pea) long non-coding RNA (PSAT_LNC001402)". Lineage: Eukaryota; Viridiplantae; Streptophyta; Magnoliopsida; Fabales; Fabaceae. The record is from RNAcentral.
AACACCCCUAAAACAUAAACAUGUCCCAACAACACACGAACAUAAACUCGCCUAAAACAACAACGCAAACAAUAAAUAAAAACACUCAACAAAGACAUAUGUCUAAGAUAUUACAACAAGCAAAACAGUAUCAUCUGGUGAAGACAUCAUAACUCUAACAUCAGUGUCAUCUUUAACUCGUCCACACAUACGCUGCAUAACAUUAUUGUCAUCUGCAAUUGAGAUAUGUGAACAAUCA